CGGCCACGGCCUCCGACCACCAGCCACGCUUCGCCGCUAACCCCCUCGCGGCGGCUUCCAUUCGGUCCCUGCCCUCCACGCCAUUCUCUUCCUGACCUCGCCUUCAAGUUCAUGUCCCCGUCGUCGCCCAUGGGCCUGCUCCAUCGGCCCGCCUCACCCUCGGCCACGGCCUCCAACCGUCGGCCCUGUUUCACCGCCGACUGCACGCCCUGCCCUGUGCCGGCUCUUGCCCUCCCCUGACUCGUCGGCCCCGUUUCGCCGCCGACCGCACACGCUACCGUGCGCCGGCUCCUGCCCUCUCCUAACUUGGUCGGCACCAACUUUGCAACUUACAGGUGAUUUGUCCAAGGAGAUGGAUUUACUGAGCAGUGGUACAUCUUUUGAAGAGGCUGUCAAACCACGGAAGUGGCUUAAUCCAACGGAUUGGGGGAGGAGAGCCUGGUGCCGUUCGAGAUUGGGGCCUCAUGAGGUAAAUUCAGAAGCAAGGAUGGCGACGACGAUGACCCCGACGACAUCGUCCCCAUGGACACCCAAGGUCACUGGAGUGGAGUGGGUGACAUACCAAGCACAAAGCAACUAGACUUUCUCAUCCGAACCAUCAUGUGACCUCCAUAGACCACUGGCGUCAAAGAUGAAGCAAGAUAAUGUCAUUUCACUUGUCUCUACGACCAUGGCACAACCUGGCAUGGUGUUUCAUUUAAUAGGUCACUGGAGUGGAGUGGGUGACAUACCAAGCACAAAGCAAAGGCAUAUGUAGGGUGAUGAUGAUGCCGUAGUGAUGGGCCUUGAGGUAGAGCACGGAGGCAGUAACGUAGCGGAGUGCAACAAGCAGUAGCUAGACAAUAUAGGCAUUGACCAAGUAGAGGUUAAUACAGACACCAACAGCUCCGGGCCAGGACCAUGUUGUGUACCUCAAUAUGGUCAUGACUUGGAGUUCUGCAGUGAGGAUCAUGUGGAGUGUCCAGUGCCUGAUGGAUGAAGGCUAACAUUGGAGUUUCACAGUGAGUAGUUUUGCGGAGAGCUCUGGCUGGAGAUCUGACAUGAUAGAUGAGAUGAGAGAGUCAGCUUCGCUUGGUGGUCAAGUUGCCUGUGAUGGGGAAGGGGAAGAGUAAGACGCCUUCCUGAGAUGGUUGGGUCACGAUGAAUGCGAUGGCUGAUGGUUGGAUCAUGAUGGAUGGAUUCCAACUUGAGGGACUUGGAUUAAAUUAGACUCUUAAGCACAUUGAGAUAUGUUUGGACUGGAUGGUGGACUUUCUGUAGUAGGAUUAUAAUUGGAUUCCUUUGUUAGGAUUUGGAUUUUGGUCCAAUCCCCCCUAAUAAGCUGAAGAUCAUGCUUGCUGUGGAGCCUUUGAUACCAUCAGAGGGACCAAAGAUUGGAGAGCACAUUUCGGUUACACGGAAUGGAAAAUGUGCAUAUAUGGUGCUGAUUGCAGUGAGAUUAGCCUCGUCCAAGUUAGGGGAUCUGCCAUGAACUAGACAAGAUUAGAAGUUUAAAGAGGCCUUACAUCAAGAGAGUACAAGAUCGCCAUAAGGAAGUACAAGUCUUUGAGGAAAGUGACCUUAUGAGAAGCUUGAGAAAAAUCAACUUGAAAGUGACCUUCAUGAUGAUACAAUAAAUUGUCUCAAACGCAACACUAUUGAAAUGGAGGGAUACAUUCGCCCUCUUGACGUAGUCAUAAUUGUGUUGCAGACCAGCAUUCUGAUGGUGUUGCAGAUGAUCAUCCCAGCGAUUCCUUAUUCUCUCCAACAUACCAUCAUCACAAGGUGGUGUCUGUUUUUUAUUCAACAGGAGGUCUACGUGGCGGUGUCUAUAGGUCUCGAUGUCAAGCCUGGUUCCACUGUUAAGUGUGAGCCUGGAUAUGGUUUUAUGCUGCACCUUUCCCAGGCUGCUCUUGAGGAAUCGAAGAAUAGUGAUAAUGCGCUAUUGCCUUGAUGUAUGUCAAAAUUGAUGAUCAAAAACUUGCCAUUGGAAUCCUCUCUGUUGACAAGAACCCACACAUACAAUUUGAUCUGGUUUUCGAUAAAGAGUUUGAGCUGUCGCACACAUCAAAAACUACCAUCGUCUUCUUCACUGGCUACAAGGUUGAGCAACCAUUCAAGGAAGAUGGAAUGGAUCUUGAUUCUGAAGAUGAAGACGAGGAGCUGAAUGUUCCAGUAGUCAAGGAAAAUGCGAACCACACGGGAAAAGCUGAUGGGAAGAAACAGAAAAGUCAAGAAAAGGCAGUUCCUGCAGCUUCAAAAUCAAGUCCGGCUUCCAAGAAGAGCAAGGAUGACGAUGAUUCUGAUGAGGACGAGACUGAUGAUUCUAACGAGGACGAGACAGACGAUUCUGAUGAGGGUGAGGGUUUGUCUCCUGAAGAAGGCGAUGAUGAUGAUUCAAGUGAUGAAGAUGAUACCAGUGACGAUGAGGAGGAAGACACUUCAACUCCUAAGAAGCAUGAGGCAGGCAAGAAGAGAGCUGCUGAAAGUUUCGUGCUGAAAACUCCUCUAUCUGAUAAGAAAGCAAAAGUUGCCACGCCGUCAGCUCAGAAGACAGGUGUGCCAUUGAACGGACUAACAAAACUGUCGUCGAAGAUUGUAUAGGUGUGACUCUGUUCAAGGAUAGUCUUGAGGUUCUAGAACAGAAGAGUAGUGGUGUGCAUCAGUGUAUCUGUUUACAGGAUAAUAGUGGUUGGUUAGGUGUGUGCAGAAAAAGUUUAGCGUUAUGGUUUGUAUGUGAUACAUAUUAACUGUGCCUUGGAAUGUUCAUGUGUUGUCCUGAUUUCGUGUGAUAUCUCUUGUUCAGUUCAAGU
Zea mays is the source of this 2792-nucleotide RNA transcript. It is a transcript of the gene named histone deacetylase HDT3-like, with no coding region annotated. Lineage: Eukaryota; Viridiplantae; Streptophyta; Magnoliopsida; Poales; Poaceae. The transcript has 14 exons. The record is from RefSeq and is a predicted model, not a curated record.